Molecule: ribosomal RNA, 802 nt
Filed under: uncultured Bacteroidota bacterium
Lineage: Bacteria; Pseudomonadati; Bacteroidota
Description: bacterial SSU rRNA
Rfam family: Bacterial small subunit ribosomal RNA
Source: RNAcentral
GUGAUCGAACGCUAGCGGCAGGCUUAACACAUGCAAGUCGAGGGGUAGGGCAGCAAUGCUUGAGACCGGCGCACGGGUGCGUAACGCGUAUGCAAUCUACCUUUUGCAGAGGGAUAGCCCAGAGAAAUUUGGAUUAAUACCUCAUAGUAUAAUGAAUUCGCAUGGAUUUAUUAUUAAAGUAACAACGGCAAAAGAUGAGCAUGCGUCCCAUUAGCUAGAUGGUAAGGUAACGGCUUACCAUGGCGACGAUGGGUAGGGGUCCUGAGAGGGAGAUCCCCCACACUGGUACUGAGACACGGACCAGACUCCUACGGGAGGCAGCAGUGAGGAAUAUUGGACAAUGGGCGCAAGCCUGAUCCAGCCAUGCCGCGUGCAGGAUGACGGUCCUAUGGAUUGUAAACUGCUUUUGUACAGGAAGAAACCCUCGGACGUGUCCGAGAUUGACGGUACUGUAAGAAUAAGGAUCGGCUAACUCCGUGCCAGCAGCCGCGGUAAUACGGAGGAUCCAAGCGUUAUCCGGAAUCAUUGGGUUUAAAGGGUCCGUAGGCGGUUUAGUAAGUCAGUGGUGAAAGCCCAUCGCUCAACGGUGGAACGGCCAUUGAUACUGCUAGACUUGAAUUAUAAGGAAGUAACUAGAAUAUGUAGUGUAGCGGUGAAAUGCUUAGAUAUUACAUGGAAUACCAAUUGCGAAGGCAGGUUACUACUUAUGGAUUGACGCUGAUGGACGAAAGCGUGGGUAGCGAACAGGAUUAGAUACCCCUGGUAGUCCACGCCGUAAACGAUGGAUACUAGCUAUUGGGAG